ACCUACGGGAGAAAGGGGGCAACUUGUUGCUCUCGCUAUUAGAUGAGCCUAAGUCGGAUUAGCUAGAUGGUGGGGUAAAGGCCUACCAUGGCGACGAUCUGUAGCUGGUCUGAGAGGAUGAUCAGCCACACCGGGACUGAGACACGGCCCGGACUCCUACGGGAGGCAGCAGUGGGGAAUAUUGGACAAUGGGGGCAACCCUGAUCCAGCCAUGCCGCGUGUGUGAAGAAGGCCUUUUGGUUGUAAAGCACUUUAAGCAGUGAAGAAGACUCCAUGGUUAAUACCCAUGGACGAUGACAUUAGCUGCAGAAUAAGCACCGGCUAACUCUGUGCCAGCAGCCGCGGUAAUACAGAGGGUGCAAGCGUUAAUCGGAAUUACUGGGCGUAAAGCGAGCGUAGGUGGCUUGAUAAGUCAGAUGUGAAAUCCCCGGGCUUAACCUGGGAACUGCAUCUGAUACUGUUAGGCUAGAAUAGGUGAGAGGAAGGUAGAAUUCCAGGUGUAGCGGUGAAAUGCGUAGAGAUCUGGAGGAAUACCGAUGGCGAAGGCAGCCUUCUGGCAUCAUAUUGACACUGAGGUUCGAAAGCGUGGGUAGCAAACAGGAUUAGAUACCCUGGUAGUCCACGCCGUAAACGAUGUCUACUAGUCGUUGGGUCCCUUGAGGACUUAGUGACGCAGCUUACGCAAUAAGUAGACCGCCUGGGGAGUACGGCCGCAAGGUUAAAACUCAAAUGAAUUGACGGGGGCCCGCACAAGCGGUGGAGCAUGUGGUUUAAUUCGAUGCAACGCGAAAAACCUUACCUGGUCUUGACAUAUCUAGAAUCCUGCAGAGAUGCUGGAGUGCCUUCGGGAAUUAAAAUACAGGUGCUGCAUGGCUGUCGUCAGCUCGUGUCUUGAGAUGUUGGGUUAAUUCCCCCAACCACCGCAACCCUUGUCCUUACUUACCACCA
RNAcentral lists this ribosomal RNA (948 nucleotides) under Psychrobacter sp. RNAcentral describes it as "bacterial SSU rRNA". It matches the Rfam family "Bacterial small subunit ribosomal RNA", at positions 192 to 1123 of the family's 1533-position model. The record is from RNAcentral. Lineage: Bacteria; Pseudomonadati; Pseudomonadota; Gammaproteobacteria; Moraxellales; Moraxellaceae.